RNAcentral lists this ribosomal RNA (560 nucleotides) under Wagneriana sp. n. 2 JJCG-2018. RNAcentral's name for it is "partial large subunit ribosomal RNA". It matches the Rfam family "Eukaryotic large subunit ribosomal RNA", at positions 597 to 843 of the family's 3401-position model. The record is from RNAcentral. Lineage: Eukaryota; Metazoa; Arthropoda; Arachnida; Araneae; Araneidae.
ACGCAUUUGUUUCCCGUCCGAAGGACCCCGCAACCGGUUCGGAAACGGCUUUAAGGAUCCGUGAUGGCAGUUGGCCGGUGGCUCGUCUCGUGCGGGCCGUCGGUUGUUAGCCGUCGGGUCUUGGCUCGUGGCCGGACCGUGGUGUCGCGAGGCCCUCUUGGGCUUCUUCGCCUCCUCCGUUCGCGGACGCCGGGAUCCCGUGGCAGGGGUUCGCACUUCUGCGGGCGCACGGACUGACUCCGUGGCCCAGCGGUCGCAUGCGUCCUCGUUGGCUGCGGUGAACCCGUCGGAGGUUGGCGGUUCGCGGGGAGUAGAUCGGUCACCCACCCGACCCGUCUUGAAACACGGACCAAGGAGUCUAACAUGUGUGCGAGUCAAUGGGUCUCGAUUAAGCCCAGAGGCGCAAUGAAAGCAAAGGCAGGACUCGACGCCUGCCGAGUUGGGAUCCUCCUUCCUUCGCGUCGGAGGCGCACCAACGACCCGUCCUGUCCCAUUUAUGGGUUGGGCGGAGUUUGAGCAUACACGUUGGGACCCGAAAGAUGGUGAACUAUGCCCGGGCA